UACGUAGGGUGCAAGCGUUACUCGGAAUUACUGGGCGUAAAGCGUGCGCAGGCGGUGAUGUAAGACAGGGGUGAAAUCCCCGGGCUUAACCUGGGAACUGCAUUUGUGACUGCAUCGCUGGAGUGCGGCAGAGGGGGAUGGAAUUCCGCGUGUAGCAGUGAAAUGCGUAGAUAUGCGGAGGAACACCGAUGGCGAAGGCAAUCCCCUGGGCCUGCACUGACGCUCAUGCACGAAAGCGUGGGGAGCAAACAGG
RNAcentral lists this ribosomal RNA (253 nucleotides) under uncultured bacterium. RNAcentral's name for it is "partial 16S ribosomal RNA". It matches the Rfam family "Bacterial small subunit ribosomal RNA", at positions 524 to 776 of the family's 1533-position model. The record is from RNAcentral.